AAGCGGUGGAGCAUGUGGUUUAAUUCGACGCAACGCGAAGAACCUUACCAGGGCUUGACAUCCCCUGACCGCGUAUGAAGUACGUUUCACCUCGGGUGACAGGGAGACAGGUGGUGCAUGGUUGUCGUCAGCUCGUGCCGUGAGGUGUCGGGUUAAGUCCCAUAACGAGCGCAACCCUUAUCGUUAGUUGCCAUCUGGUAAUGCAGGGGACUCUAGCGAAACUGCCACCGUAAGGUGAGAGGAAGGUGGGGAUGACGUCAAAUCAGCACGGCCCUUAUGUCCAGGGCUACACACGUGCUACAAUGGGCGGUACAAAGGGCUGCGAACCCGCGAGGUGGAGCUAAUCUCAUAAAGCCGGUCUCAGUUCGGAUUGGAGUCUGCAACUCGACUCCAUGAAGUUGGAAUCGCUAGUAAUCGCGGAUCAGCAUGCCGCGGUGAAUACGUUCCCGGGCCUU
Molecule: ribosomal RNA, 455 nt
Filed under: uncultured Sphingobacteriales bacterium
Lineage: Bacteria; Pseudomonadati; Bacteroidota; Sphingobacteriia; Sphingobacteriales
Description: bacterial SSU rRNA
Rfam family: Bacterial small subunit ribosomal RNA
Source: RNAcentral